This 944-nucleotide ribosomal RNA is filed under the name Anaplectus porosus. RNAcentral describes it as "SSU rRNA". It matches the Rfam family "Eukaryotic small subunit ribosomal RNA", at positions 45 to 994 of the family's 1831-position model. The record is from RNAcentral. Lineage: Eukaryota; Metazoa; Nematoda; Chromadorea; Plectida; Plectidae.
UAAGCCAUGCAUGUCUAUGCACAAGCCGAAUACGGUGAAGCCGCGAAUGGCUCAUUACAACAGCCACUGUUUACUUGAUCUUGAUUAUCCUACUUGGAUAACUGUGGUAAUUCUAGAGCUAAUACAUGCAACCAAGCUCCGACCGUAAGGGACGAGCGCAUUUAUUAGAACAAAACCAAUCGGGCUUCGGCCUGAGGUUUGGUGAAUCUGAAUAACUGAGCUGAUCGCAUGGUCUUUGUACCGGCGACGCAUCUUUCAAGUGUCUGCCUUAUCAACUUUCGAUGGUAGUUUAUGUGCCUACCAUGGUUGUAACGGGUAACGGAGAAUAAGGGUUCGACUCCGGAGAGGGAGCCUGAGAAACGGCUACCACAUCCAAGGAAGGCAGCAGGCGCGCAAAUUACCCACUCUCGGCACGAGGAGGUAGUGACGAAAAAUAACGAGGCGGUUCUCUAAGAGGCCCGCUAUCGGAAUGGGUACAAUUUAAACCCUUUAACGAGGACCUAUGAGAGGGCAAGUCUGGUGCCAGCAGCCGCGGUAAUUCCAGCUCUCAAGGUGUAUAUCGCCAUUGCUGCGGUUAAAAAGCUCGUAGUUGGAUCUGCGCCUUCGGACUCGGUCCUCCCAACGGGUGCGAACUGAGCUCCAAGGCUACUACUGCUGGUUUUCCCUUGAUGCUCUUCACUGGGUGUCUUGGGUGGCUAGCGAGUUUACUUUGAAAAAAUUAGAGUGCUCAAAACAGGCUAUCGCCUGAAUACCGGUGCAUGGAAUAAUAGAAUAGGAUCUCGGUCCUAUUUUGUUGGUUUUCGGAACUGAGAUAAUGGUUAAGAGGGACAGACGGGGGCAUUCGUAUCGCUGCGUGAGAGGUGAAAUUCUUGGACCGCAGCGAGACGCCCAACUGCGAAAGCAUUUGCCAAGAAUGUCUUCGUUAAUCAAGAACGAAAGUCAGA